Dunckerocampus dactyliophorus (ringed pipefish) is the source of this 4104-nucleotide long non-coding RNA. RefSeq lists it as uncharacterized. The record is from RefSeq and is a predicted model, not a curated record. The transcript has 3 exons. NCBI's taxonomy places the organism in Eukaryota, Metazoa, Chordata, Actinopteri, Syngnathiformes, Syngnathidae.
ACGGGGGCGGGACUGGACGACGUUAUCCAUUAGCGUCGUCAGUCAGUCACGCUGGGAGGACACUAACAGUUUAUUUUAUACGUUUCCUCUGCAAAGACAAAGCGGGAGACGAUGGCGCCGCUAAAGAUGAUUGAAUACGAGACAUAAAAACAGACACGUGCUUUACGAGCGCCGAGACGUGCACCGAGUAUCGUGGAGGAUUCAUCACAAAAACAUCAAUCAAGAUCACGUUGUUUUUUUUCCUUUUUUUUGCUACAAAAGCUGCGCUCUGAUUGGUCGACUCACAGGAUGGGGCGGGACUGGAAGUCCUCCUGAUUCAUUCUCUCCGACUGGCGUAUCUUGAGGAUCUCGGUGUAGCUCAGGUUCUGCAGGCGACUCUUGAACUGGUCCAGGGAAUUAGGCUUGAGUGUCAGCGCUCGCAUGAUCUGCUCCCGCACCACCUGCAUGACCUGCGACACAGGAAGAAGACGGAGGGGGGCGGAGUCAGAGACAGGAAGUCAAACAUGAGAGAGCGAGCCUGCUUCCGGAGGACAUCAGUGACGUCUACAUGUAGAUUGUCUUUCCGAUUCUCAGAGGAGAUGGAGGCGGAUGAAGACGCUCGCACAAACGCAACAACAACGCAUGCGACUGAGAAGCACCAGAGACACGGCCGUGCAGCCCGGAAGGAGGCGCACUCACACAUGCUGAUGAUGAUGAUGAUGAUGAUCUCAUGAUGAGUGUUGGAUUUUCUCCAUCAAUGAAACAUCAGUGCAUGUUUCUAUUGCGCGUCUUUGAGUUGACGUCCACAAAAACAUCAAAGAGUGACACCAGCAACACGAUCACCACGAUCACCGCAUGCAAACCACCAGCGCUGUUGACCCAUGAGCUAGCUGCACCGUAUGCUAGACUUGCACAUUGUUUGAAUUCCAAACUUCUACUUUCUAUUUAUUAUUUGAUGUGAUUGGGUUAGGAUUGGGACUCGGGCUAGCGUUAAAGCUAGGCCUCAGGUUAGCGUUGGGCUUAGUCUAAAAGUAUCCUAAACACUUCAUUUGUAAGGAAAAAUAUCAAAUUAAAUGUAAAAAUGAUGAGUAUAGAUGUUUUAUUUAUUAUUAUAUAUUUUAUGUUUUUAGAUCUUAUAUAUUUAAUUUAUAAAUGUAUAUUUGAUUUAUUGAUACUUUAUUGUAGGGAUGUCCGAUAUUGGCUUUUCUGCUCCGAUAUUGUCCAACUCUCAAUUUCCGAUUCCGAUAUCAACCGAUACUGAUGUGUGUAACAUCGCAUAUCCUUUUCUUGAGUAAAGUUGUUGUAAAGUAACAAUACUCUUAAAUGAGUACGGUUGUUUUGUUGGCUACUCCACCCAUCUGAGUAGAUCAUUCAUGUAUUACAUAUUUCAUAUCAGAUUACUUUUGUGGUUCUUGUGUUAUUUUUGGAAAGAUUUAAUACAUUUUUAGUUAAAGGGGUGUCGUUUAGAAUACAUGAAUUUGCUGAUUAUUAUUUGGAUUGAUAGCGUUCAUGUUCUUAUUUUAUAUUCCUAUGGAAUGUGGGAGGGAACCGGAGUACCCGGAGAAAACCCACGCACACACGGGGAGAACAUCCAGUAUCGACCCAAUGAUUAUCGGUGGCCAACAUUAUCAGCAUCCCUACUUUAUUUUAUACUUGAUAUAUUUGACAUAUAUCGGUGACAUAUUUGUUACUUAUUUUUUACUGUAUAUACAAUUUAAUUCCUAUAGUAUAUAUUUUAAUGUAUUUGUUUUAGAUUUUAUUUAUAUAUUUUAUAUAUGUAGUUUAUUAUUUUACUGACACGUUUUAAUUUAUAUAGUUUGAUAGUGUAUAUUUUUAUUUUUACAUUUUAUUUAUAUAUUUUUUAUUUGAUGUACUUGCAUUUUAUUUGAUAUUUCUGUUUAUAUAUUUUAUAUAUGUUGUUUAUACAUAUUUUUAACUCGUAUAUAUUUUUACUUGCAAUUUACAUUUAAUUUGUAGUUUAUGUUGUAUAUUUUUAUUUUGAUAUUUUUAAAAAUAGAAAUAUAUAGUCAUUGUUUUCGCAUCAUAUUUUUACUGAUAUAUUUUGAGUUUCCAGGUCAUCACUGGAACACCAACUGGAGCCCCGACCCCAACCCCACCCCCACCCCAAGUCCUAACCCUAGCCUAAAAAAAAAAUCCCCUAAAUUGAUGAAUUGUCCACCACGAGCGGCAGCUGAGAGCAGAGCGGACGUACCUUGUUGAAGUCCUCGCUGGUGGCCCUCAUCUCCUUCCAGGUCUUGUUGAGCAGCUGGAUGCAGAUGCAGAAGAACUCCUCGAAGGAGCGGUCGUGUGUGAAGAACAUGGGGUGGAAGUCGUGGCAGUUUUCGCCGGCUGUGGACAAGCAGAUGGACGCCCAACGUCAGGGACGAGGAUGAUGAUUAGCAUGAAGCAUGAAGGUUUGACACUCUUCACGUUGUUUCAAAGUGUUUUUGUGUGCAACUGUUGAGCUAAGUUUGGCCUUUAGUCCUGAGGAGUGUCACGGUUGGGGGCGGAGACGAAGACAAGCAUAGUGUGUGCGAGAUGGAGCCACUCCCAAAAGCAGGAAGUCGUUCACUUUCAAGGUUUUUGCAAAGCAUCCAAGCUUCCAAGACCGUCCCGACCAAAGCCAAACAUAUUUAUGUCCUCCUUGCUCACAGGAGCAGACAUGCUUGCUCGCAGGUUGUGUAUCCAUGAAUAUUUCACCACAAACCUUCACGUUGGCCUACACUGUCGAUAUUUUGGGCUCAUCUAAGAGACACGCCCCUGCUUUGGAGGAGGCUUCACCGUACCGACAAACACGUUUUGCUUCCCUGCCGAAAUGUCACCGCAGAGCCUCCCGCGCCACUGCAGCGUUUACGCCUGGAAAGAUCUCCGAGUGCAAAGUCGUGUCGCCGUCGUUCACUCAGCGCCUCGCUUGCAGCACGACCAGCCCUUCCGAGGCGGCACCUUCUUUAUGCGUGGCAGCGUAAUAACGCCUUGAAUGUCACAAACCAUCACAUCUAAUGUGCUUUAAUCUGCUCGCUGAUGUGUCAUGCUCUUCUUAAGAGUGUGUGUGUGUGUGUGUGUGUGUGUGUGUGUGUAGCAGUGUUACAUCACACUCUUGUUGCUCUCUACCCCCAAUUAAAAACGGUGCCGAGUGCAACCGUUGUUGUUGUUUCAUAAGCGCUACACACGAACGUCGUACAGUCGAUGCCUGCUUUUUGUGGGGCUUAAGGGACCACCAAUGAAUGGAAUUGAUACGCCCAUAAAAAGGUCUAUUUUUGACACAUGGUGCACUCCUCCCCUGCGUGGAAGUUCCCCUCCAAUUUCGGAUCGACAUUUGCAAUAAAUGUGGCUGUUGUGAUUAUAAGAAUAGAUGAAAAAAAACAACACUAUUUUGAGAGAAAAAAUAUUUCUUUGCUCCACAAGCUGCACACUGACUACUCUACAGCAGGGCUUUAAUCUUGCUGGUCCUAACAAAAGAGUUUGCAGAGAGAAACCCCCAACAAAAACCUCUCCUGGGACGUGCGUGCUGGCCUGCUCGGUGGUCAGGAGACGAGCUGUCAUCGUCGGACUGCAAGUCAGAGCGUGUCUAUUUUUGUGUCGGGCAGAAGAAGUGGGAGGGGGCAUGGGGGGAUGGGUGUGUUUGCUGGGCGCUCCUCUCUGCCGACCCCCCCGAGGGCUUGAAGUGACGUCAGCAUAGGAGCUCAUUAGUCGGCCGGCCACCAUGCAAAUGACGCCUGCGGGGGGCGCAGGGGGGUGACUUUACUGGGCAUGGCGCCAUCCCUGACAUCUGCCAAGGUCCACUCUGUGUGUGCGUGUGUGCAGAGUCACCUUGCAGCGAUGCCACAUGAUGAAUCCACAGUGAAAGAUGUCAUCCUCACUCUAAUUGUAUAAGCCUCAUGUCCAACUGUGACCAGGGGGAAGUGCAUGUGUGUGUGUGUGUGUGUGUGUGUGUGUGUGUGUGUGUGUGUGUGUGUGUGUGUGUGUGUGUGUGCCAGCAACCAACGUCAGCACAAUGUUACAGUCCUGUGUGUGUGCGUGUGUGGCCAUGUUUGAGAGGCUCUCUGCCCUCAAGUGAAUAAUAUAAUAGUAUUUGCAUUGCUAUUUACAUUUUGCAGUAGGGUGGGGUUUUUGUGAACCGGGGGU